UACGUAGGGACCAAGCGUUGUUCGGAUUUACUGGGCGUAAAGGGUGCGUAGGCGGCGUGUCAAGUCAGUUGUGAAAUCUCCGAGCUUAACUCGGAACGGUCAACUGAUACUGUCAUGCUAGAGUGCAGAAGGGGCAAUCGGAAUUCUUGGUGUAGCGGUGAAAUGCGUAGAUAUCAAGAGGAACACCUGAGGUGAAGACGGGUUGCUGGGCUGACACUGACGCUGAAGCACGAAAGCUAGGGUAGCAAACGGG
This 253-nucleotide ribosomal RNA is filed under the name uncultured bacterium. Its description in RNAcentral is "partial 16S ribosomal RNA". It matches the Rfam family "Bacterial small subunit ribosomal RNA", at positions 524 to 776 of the family's 1533-position model. The record is from RNAcentral.